CUUGACCGCAGCACAUUCGUUUUCCUUACAGUAUGUAGUACGCAUUCUACCUUUUUCUACAAUGAAUCCACCAGCAGAAAUUCCUGUACACAUCUUAUCAACAAAGAAUUUGAACCUCAAAGAGUGGCUCAAAGAGGUCAGGAGGCACCUUCAACACUUUUGUUGGAGAUCUCCUUGUCUAGAUCAUCAGGUUUGUCAGAUUCUCACUCUGUCACCUAGGCUGCAGUGCAGUGGUGCGAUCUCAACUCACUGCAACCUCUACCUCCUGGGUUCAAGCAAUUCUCC
Pan troglodytes (chimpanzee) is the source of this 285-nucleotide long non-coding RNA. RefSeq lists it as uncharacterized. The transcript has 3 exons. The record is from RefSeq and is a predicted model, not a curated record. Lineage: Eukaryota; Metazoa; Chordata; Mammalia; Primates; Hominidae.